Molecule: ribosomal RNA, 377 nt
Filed under: uncultured bacterium
Lineage: Bacteria
Description: bacterial SSU rRNA
Rfam family: Bacterial small subunit ribosomal RNA
Source: RNAcentral
AUACGUAGGGGGCAAGCGUUGUCCGGAAUUAUUGGGCGUAAAGGGUGCGUAGGCGGCCUUUUAAGUCAGGUGUGAAAGCCCACGGCUUAACCGGGGAGGGUCAUUGGAAACUGGGAAACUUGAGUGCAGAAGAGGAGAGUGGAAUUCCAUGUGUCGCGGUGAAAUGCGUAGAUAUAUGGAGGAACACCAGUGGCGAAGGCGACUUACUGGACUGUAACUGACGCUGAGGCACGAAAGCGUGGGGAGCGAACAGGAUUAGAUACCCUGGUAGUCCACGCCGUAAACGAUGAGUGCUAAGUGUUGGAGGGUUUCCGCCCUUCAGUGCUGCAGCAAACGCAUUAAGCACUCCGCCUGGGGAGUACGACCGCAAAGUUGAA